RNAcentral lists this long non-coding RNA (223 nucleotides) under Gossypium barbadense (sea-island cotton). RNAcentral describes it as "long non-coding RNA (GBAR_LNC004943)". Lineage: Eukaryota; Viridiplantae; Streptophyta; Magnoliopsida; Malvales; Malvaceae. The record is from RNAcentral.
CUCAUCAUCUUGUUUUUUUAUAUCCCUUCCCAGUGUCGAAUCACAAGAAGUUGGAGCAGAUCUUUGAUCUUUUAUUAGUAUUCCCCUUCCUUAGACUGGGACGCAUACAUCGAGAAUCCAGUGUGCAAUUCAUUUUGAUAAGAUAGAUAGAUUGUCCCCAAUUAGUCAUAUAAGUUACACUAAAUCGGAGCUAGAAUAAAGGGUAGGUUGAAUCUUAAAAGUA